Molecule: long non-coding RNA, 102 nt
Organism: Sapajus apella (tufted capuchin)
Lineage: Eukaryota; Metazoa; Chordata; Mammalia; Primates; Cebidae
Exons: 3
Source: RefSeq, a predicted model, not a curated record
CCCAGGCGGUGAGGUGGAGGGAGUCACAGGGUUGGUGCACACACUCCGACCCGAUGGAUCUGGGACCAGAAGGAGGGGCAGUGCUCCUUGGCUGAGCUCAGC